AGUUGAUUAUAUAGCGAGCUGGCAAACAUUGUGAGGGUAGAAAAUAUGUAGUAAUUAAUGAAAGAAGUUUAAACACACCAUAAUAAUUUAUAUAUAAUGAAUUAGUACAAUAUUUUACACUUUAUACAUUGCAUGGUAAGAUACAUGAGUGACUUAGUACCACAUAGAGUUCUUAUGAGGUUCAAAAUUUUCACUAUCUUCAUCAUCUUUAUGUGUAGAGUGAGUGUAUUGUGAAGAGUAGUUAUCAAAUGAUAAAUCCCCAAAAUAGUUUUGCAUGUAAUUGUUAACAUGGCACCCAUAUGGAUCCGAGAUUGGUUGACCUUGUCCAUAAGCAAAAUCAUCUGAAGAUUAAGUCUCGGAUUGUUUCCAUGAGUCACUCGAUUCCAUCCCAACAGGAAUCGGAUAUGAAGGGUAGGGAAAUGGUUGGUUAUGAGUAUAACCAUAGUUACUACUUCUCAAUCCAACA
RNAcentral lists this long non-coding RNA (466 nucleotides) under Malus domestica (apple). Its description in RNAcentral is "long non-coding RNA (MDOM_LNC009102)". The record is from RNAcentral. Lineage: Eukaryota; Viridiplantae; Streptophyta; Magnoliopsida; Rosales; Rosaceae.